UUUAAAACUGAUUUACUUGAUAAAUUAUACAAGCAGCCAUAAAGCCUUUUAUAACAGCUAAAUAACACAUAACAUUUGUUAAGGUUAUAGCAUCUGGUAUGUACUGUAGAAUCUUAUGUAGCAUGGUCAUAACAUUUGUUAAGGUUAUAGCAUCUGGUAUGUACUGUAGAAUCUUAUGUAGCAUGGUCAUAACAUUUGUUAAGGUUAUAGCAUCUGGUAUGUACUGUAGAAUCUUAUGUAGCAUGGUCAUAACAUUUGUUAUGGUUAUAGCAUCUGGUAUGUACUGUAGAAUCUUAUGUAGCAUGGUCAUAACAUUUGUUAAGGUUAUAGCAUCUGGUAUGUACUGUAGAAUCUUAUGUAGCAUGGUCAUAACAUUUGUUAUGGUUAUAGCAUCUGGUAUGUACUGUAGAAUCUUAUGUAGCAUGGUCAUAACAUUUGUUAAGGUUAUAGCAUCUGGUAUGUACUGUAGAAUCUUAUGUAGCAUGGUCAUAACAUUUGUUAAGGUUAUAGCAUCUGGUAUGUACUGUAGAAUCUUAUGUAGCAUGGUCAUAACAUUUGUUAAGGUUAUAGCAUCUGGUAUGUACUGUAGAAUCUUAUGUAGCAUGGUCAUAACAUUUGUUAAGGUUAUAGCAUCUGGUAUGUACUGUAGAAUCUUAUGUAGCAUGGUCAUAACAUUUGUUAUGGUUAUAGCAUCUGGUAUGUACUGUAGAAUCUUAUGUAGCAUGGUCAUAACAUUUGUUAUGGUUAUAGCAUCUGGUAUGUACUGUAGAAUCGUAUGUAGCAUGGUCAUAACAUUUGUUAAGGUUAUAGAAUCUUAUGUAGCAUGGUCAUAACAUUUGUUAAGGUUAUAGCAUCUGGUAUGUACUGUAGAAUCGUAUGUAUCAUGGUCAUAACAUUUGUUAAGGUUAUAGAAUCUUAUGUAGCAUGGUCAUAACAUUUGUUAAGGUUAUAGCAUCUGGUAUGUACUGUAGAAUCGUAUGUAUCAUGGUCAUAACAUUUGACAUACACUGUCAUCCAGACUGUAAUUAGCAGUCGUUACUAACAGUUGACAUAUGACAACAGGAUGACCGUGUCUCAGAACUCUUUUUAAAACUACUUAUGACAGAUGUUUUACGUGUUAUAUAGCUGUCAUAAAGGCUUUAUGAAUACAGUCAUAAGGACACCUAGAGUAAAGUGUUACCAGAAAAUCAUAGAUAGACAUUUUUUUUUUGUGUGUGUGUGUGAAUCAUUUUUAGCCCUUUGACUGUAUAAUAAACACGAUGGUUCUUUUCCCUCCUUUGUUCCUGAACUGGGAAAUCACCCCUUUAAAACAUCUCAACUCUUUUGAGGAUGAAAAGUUUAUACAAAGUCCAUGUCCAUCAACAUGAC
Molecule: long non-coding RNA, 1368 nt
Organism: Oncorhynchus keta (chum salmon)
Lineage: Eukaryota; Metazoa; Chordata; Actinopteri; Salmoniformes; Salmonidae
Exons: 3
Source: RefSeq, a predicted model, not a curated record